Molecule: non-coding RNA, 112 nt
Filed under: Mesorhizobium hungaricum
Lineage: Bacteria; Pseudomonadati; Pseudomonadota; Alphaproteobacteria; Hyphomicrobiales; Phyllobacteriaceae
Also listed under: 1 other name
Description: Mesorhizobium sp. UASWS1009 TPP riboswitch aptamer (THI element)
Rfam family: TPP riboswitch aptamer (THI element)
About the family: Vitamin B(1) in its active form thiamin pyrophosphate (TPP) is an essential coenzyme that is synthesised by coupling of pyrimidine and thiazole moieties in bacteria. The previously detected thiamin-regulatory element, thi box was extended, resulting in a new, highly conserved RNA secondary structure, the THI element, which is widely distributed in eubacteria and also occurs in some archaea.
Source: Rfam by way of RNAcentral
GCGCCUCACCAGGGGAGUCCCGGCAAGGGGCUGAGAUACUGCUAUAGCGCGCAGUGACCCGUUGAACCUGAUCCAGUUCAUACUGGCGUAGGGACGGUGCGAGGCUUCGCGG